This 1544-nucleotide long non-coding RNA is filed under the name Bos indicus x Bos taurus (hybrid cattle). Its description in RNAcentral is "lncRNA (ENSBIXG00000002976.1)". Lineage: Eukaryota; Metazoa; Chordata; Mammalia; Artiodactyla; Bovidae. The record is from RNAcentral.
UGAUAAUUCCCCUCGUCACUGAUUUCUCUGCUUUUCAGCUCAAUGUGCUCGCUUUAGAAACAGGGCUGCCUCUCAAAGCGAUCGCUGGGUGACCGGCGCCCUCUAGUGGUGACUUCGGCAAGGACGCUGGAAGGGAGUUAGAGGUUCAAAGCUGACCACCCAAACCCACAGGAGCCUUCUAGCCCUUUCCUGGUUUUGGAGACAGCGGGACAUAAAGGCCACAGGUAGUGGCUCCAGGGAAUUGUUUAUCUUCGGUGGACUCUCCAAGGUGUUAGUAGAGGACUUGGGAGGGAAAGAGCAUAGCAGCAUGAGCCCCUCCGCCAGCGAGGCAGAUUUAAGUGGCAUAUUUACAUCCUGUCCGCAUGGGAACUUGAUAAACAGCUCCAGCAAAUUGGAUGGGAAUGCAGAGGAAAAGAAGAUCUUCACGAGGAUUUCUACAAUCAGCCUUGGCAUCAGCACCCAGCGGCCUCAUUGGCCCUGUGAUUUUUGCUGCCUUCCUUCAGUUGCUCUACUUGACAGCAAAGACUGCUCACAGCCCAGCUGAAUUCCCUAAACUCUGAUUGUCUAUCAGACCAAAAGAUGACAAAUGAGGUUUUCACGCUCAUUGAUGAGCACAUCACGAAAAUGACAUAAUGGUGUAAUUUUUUUGCCCGAAGACAAGGAACAAGAUGUACUGGAAAUCAUUGUGUUUCAUGUUUUUGUUCCCUUCCCACCUUCAUCUGACCACAGUUGUCACUCAGAACUCUUAGAGAGGAGCAGAAACGGCUGCCGUCCUUUGAGUGGCUGUCUGGGUGUGUGUCCAGGUCAAGGUCACACUUAUCAGUGCCCAGGACAUGCUUUUCGUACUGGGAGGGGUUAUCCCAGGAACAUUUUACAGGCUGUUAACUGACAGCCUUAAAAUUGGAUGUGACACCCUGAAUAACACCUUUUGGGGGAGAAAACUUGACAGACACCCAUCUAGAGAAAUAACGACCUAUUUAUGUCCCACCUAAACAAUACUUGAGCAGUACACGAGUUCUUGAAGAGAAGAGUUUGAAGAACUUUGUGAUACUGCUCUUGAGCCACUUUUGACAAUGAGCCCAAAUGAACUUGUUCAGUUAUUCAGGUUGGAGUUAGUAUCCAGGUGAACAGUUUGGUGUAGGGUUUUGUUUUUUUUAGUCUUAUGAAAAGUCAUUCAGUGUCACCCACUGACCCACUGGCUCAGCCUAGACCCACACACAGGUUCAGCUUGAAAGUCCUGACUUCUGCCCCAUGGGUGGGGCAGGGUUCCCAGAGAGCUGGUGCUUCCAUCAGACAGAUGGCCUGUGAUGAGUCUACAGGGCUUCCAAACUACAACCAGAAAGUUUGCUGUUUUCUCUAAAGGGUGCUUUAUAGAAUUUUAUUUUAAACAAGAUUCUAAAUUCAGGAGGUUAAGCCAAAAAUGGGCAUGAUGGAAAUUACCAUUCAAAUAUGCAUAGUUUUUUCCCCUUUAUUAGUACAGGCCACCAUUUCUUUGGUUUAGUAUAAGCUAACUCAGUGAGCUUGUGUUCUGUUGGCUGCCAUUU